UAAGGAAUAUUGGUCAAUGGAGGCAACUCUGAACCAGCCAUGCCGCGUGAACGAUGAAGGCCCUAUGGGUCGUAAAGUUCUUUUGUACGGGAAAAAACCUAUCUAUGUAUAGAUAGCUGAUGGUACCGUAAGAAUAAGGAUCGGCUAACUCCGUGCCAGCAGCCGCGGUAAUACGGAGGAUCCAAGCGUUAUCCGGAUUCAUUGGGUUUAAAGGGUGCGUAGGCGGCUUAUUAAGUCAGCGGUGAAAUCCUAGGGCUUAACCCUAGAACUGCCAUUGAUACUGAUGAGCUUGAGUACACUUGAAGUGGGCGGAAUGUGUCGUGUAGCGGUGAAAUGCUUAGAUAUGACACAGAACACCGAUUGCGAAGGCAGCUCACUAAAUUGUCACUGACGCUGAGGCACGAAAGCGUGGGGAUCAAACAGGAUUAGAUACCCCGGUAGUCC
Molecule: ribosomal RNA, 444 nt
Filed under: uncultured bacterium
Lineage: Bacteria
Description: bacterial SSU rRNA
Rfam family: Bacterial small subunit ribosomal RNA
Source: RNAcentral